Molecule: ribosomal RNA, 324 nt
Filed under: uncultured eukaryote
Lineage: Eukaryota
Description: partial 18S ribosomal RNA
Rfam family: Eukaryotic small subunit ribosomal RNA
Source: RNAcentral
CCCUUAGAUGUUCUGGGCUGCACGCGCGCUACACUGAAGCUAUCAACACGUUUUCCCUCCCUGAGAAGGGCGGGUAACCUUUUGAAUCAGCUUCGUGGUAGGGAUCGGGGCUUGCAAUUGUUCCCCGUGAACCAGGAAUUCCUAGUAGACGCGAGUCAUAAGCUCGCAUCGAUUAAGUCCCUGCCCUUUGUACACACCGCCCGUCGCUACUACCGAUUGAACGUUUUAGUGAGGCAUUUGGACCGACGCGUCUCAGUUUAACCGCUGGUUUGUGUUGGAAAGACUUCCAAACUUGAGCGUUUAGAGAAAGUAAAAGUCGUAACA